RNAcentral lists this ribosomal RNA (398 nucleotides) under uncultured bacterium. RNAcentral describes it as "partial 16S ribosomal RNA". It matches the Rfam family "Bacterial small subunit ribosomal RNA", at positions 362 to 776 of the family's 1533-position model. The record is from RNAcentral.
UAUUGCACAAUGGGGGAAAGCCUGAUGCAGCAACGCCGCGUGAAGGAAGAAGGCCUUCGGGUNGUAAACUUCUGUCCUUGGGGAANNAGNNNUNACGGUACCCAAGGAGGAAGCACCGGCUAACUACGUGNNNGNAGCCGCGGUAAUACGUAGGGGGCAAGCGUUAUCCGGAAUUAUUGGGCGUAAAGAGUACGUAGGUGGCAACCUAAGCGCAGGGUUUAAGGCAAUGGCUCAACCAUUGUUCGCCCUGCGAACUGGGAUGCUUGAGUGCAGGAGAGGAAAGCGGAAUUCCUAGUGUAGCGGUGAAAUGCGUAGAUAUUAGGAGGAACACCAGUGGCGAAGGCGGCUUUCUGGACUGUAACUGACACUGAGGUACGAAAGCGUGGGGAGCAAACAGG